Capra hircus (goat) is the source of this 633-nucleotide long non-coding RNA. RefSeq lists it as uncharacterized. The transcript is spliced from 3 exons. NCBI's taxonomy places the organism in Eukaryota, Metazoa, Chordata, Mammalia, Artiodactyla, Bovidae. The record is from RefSeq and is a predicted model, not a curated record.
GCGUGGACUGGGCGGGAAGGCUGGGCGCAGUAAGUGCCCAACACUCGUGAGUUGUUGCUCGUAUAAGGGAGGAGAACCGGGUCCCCCUGCCGUGAGCGGGGCAUCAAGGAGGCUGGGUGGCUCCCCACGGCUCAUCAUCCUGAAAUGGGCUUCCCAACUUCGACCCUCCCACGCACACCCACUCUCCAGAAGAGCCCUGGGAGGCCAGCCCAAGUGGACAGUGGCCCUGUGGAGGGCGCCAGGUUCUGUUUGGCCCGCAGCCCGCAGUGAGCCCGCAAGAAAUGUUACUGAGCACCUACUGUGCGCAGACCCUCCGCCAGGCAGCAAGCAGGACGUCGGAGGCCCUGUCUGACAUGGCGUGGUGCUGGAACAAGGACAGCAUGACUGAACACGUGCUGUGCGUGCAGCCUCAUUUAACCCCACGGCGACCCUGUGUGGCAGACGCCACCAGCAUGCCCACUUCACAGAUGAGAAAGCUGAGGCUUCGCUGAAAAGCAGCAACACAAGAGCCUGUGCUUUUGACUCUUUCCCUUCCCUCCUGUCCCCUUUCCAUUUCUGUCUAUCUUAUUUGACAAGAAAGAGAACCAGAGAAGUCAGCACCCCAAAUGGCCAACAAUCGUGGUAUAAGCUGGG